RNAcentral lists this ribosomal RNA (501 nucleotides) under uncultured Enterobacterales bacterium. RNAcentral describes it as "bacterial SSU rRNA". It matches the Rfam family "Bacterial small subunit ribosomal RNA", at positions 38 to 528 of the family's 1533-position model. The record is from RNAcentral. Lineage: Bacteria; Pseudomonadati; Pseudomonadota; Gammaproteobacteria; Enterobacterales.
GGCGGCAGGCCUAACACAUGCAAGUCGAACGGUAGCACAGAGGAGCUUGCUCCUUGGGUGACGAGUGGCGGACGGGUGAGUAAUGUCUGGGAAACUGCCCGAUGGAGGGGGAUAACUACUGGAAACGGUAGCUAAUACCGCAUAACGUCGCAAGACCAAAGAGGGGGACCUUCGGGCCUCUUGCCAUCGGAUGUGCCCAGAUGGGAUUAGCUAGUAGGUGGGGUAACGGCUCACCUAGGCGACGAUCCCUAGCUGGUCUGAGAGGAUGACCAGCCACACUGGAACUGAGACACGGUCCAGACUCCUACGGGAGGCAGCAGUGGGGAAUAUUGCACAAUGGGCGCAAGCCUGAUGCAGCCAUGCCGCGUGUAUGAAGAAGGCCUUCGGGUUGUAAAGUACUUUCAGCGAGGAGGAAGGCAUUAAGGUUAAUAACCUUAGUGAUUGACGUUACUCGCAGAAGAAGCACCGGCUAACUCCGUGCCAGCCGCCGCGGUAAAAGGG